This 420-nucleotide ribosomal RNA is filed under the name Fusarium culmorum. RNAcentral's name for it is "SSU rRNA". It matches the Rfam family "Eukaryotic small subunit ribosomal RNA", at positions 51 to 476 of the family's 1831-position model. Lineage: Eukaryota; Fungi; Ascomycota; Sordariomycetes; Hypocreales; Nectriaceae. The record is from RNAcentral.
AUGCAUGUCUAAGUAUAAGCAAUUAUACAGCGAAACUGCGAAUGGCUCAUUAUAUAAGUUAUCGUUUAUUUGAUAGUACCUUACUACUUGGAUAACCGUGGUAAUUCUAGAGCUAAUACAUGCUAAAAAUCCCGACUUCGGAAGGGAUGUAUUUAUUAGAUAAAAACCAAUGCCCUCCGGGGCUCACUGGUGAUUCAUGAUAACUCCUCGAAUCGCAUGGCCUUGCGCCGGCGUUGGUUCAUUCAAAUUUCUUCCCUAUCAACUAUCGAUGUUUGGGUAUUGGCCAAACAUGGUUGCAACGGGUAACGGAGGGUUAGGGCUCGACCCCGGAGAAGGAGCCUGAGAAACGGCUACUACAUCCAAGGAAGGGAGCAGGCGCGCAAAUUACCCAAUCCCGACACGGGGAGGUAGUGACAAUAA